UGCCACCCACAUGGGGAUAAUCAAUCCUACUU
Molecule: non-coding RNA, 32 nt
Filed under: Rattus norvegicus (Norway rat)
Lineage: Eukaryota; Metazoa; Chordata; Mammalia; Rodentia; Muridae
Source: RNAcentral